RNAcentral lists this long non-coding RNA (356 nucleotides) under Gossypium raimondii (Peruvian cotton). RNAcentral describes it as "long non-coding RNA (GRAI_LNC007048)". The record is from RNAcentral. Lineage: Eukaryota; Viridiplantae; Streptophyta; Magnoliopsida; Malvales; Malvaceae.
UUUUCGCAAGGUUUUUUCCACGCUGACAUGUUGGGGAGCAAGCGAAAACAUCUCAUUAGCUAACGCUGAAGUAGAACAUGGAGAACCCACACCCAACGGUAGCAGAACCCCAUCGAGGUUAUUGUUAGAGGCCAAACAAUUGGGAGGAUAUGAUGCUUCGUCGUAGUAUUGAGCCAUCGAGGGACUGAACAGUUUCAACUCUUGGCGGGCAGAGCGUGGAAGUCCAGGCCUGCAAGGUGUUUACACCUUUAUUUUUAAGAUGUAAGUAGGCAUGGAUAUAGAUGGAUUGUAGGUAGGUUUAGAGUAAUUUACAAACACACGAAAAUCAAUCAGGAAUACUUAUGAAUCUUUUGGGG